UGGGGAAUAUUGGACAAUGGGCGAAAGCCUGAUCCAGCCAUGCCGCGUGAGUGACGAAGGCCUUAGGGUUGUAAAACUCUUUCGUCGGGGACGAUAAUGACGGUACCCGAAGAAGAAGCUCCGGCUAACUUCGUGCCAGCAGCCGCGGUAAUACGAAGGGAGCUAGCGUUGUUCGGAAUCACUGGGCGUAAAGCGCACGUAGGCGGAUAGUUAAGUCAGGGGUGAAAUCCUGGGGCUCAACCCCAGAACUGCCUUUGAUACUGGCUGUCUCGAGGUCGAGAGAGGUUGGUGGAAUUCCUAGUGUAGAGGUGAAAUUCGUAGAUAUUAGGAAGAACACCAGUGGCGAAGGCGGCCAACUGGCUCGACACUGACGCUGAGGCGCGAAAGCGUGGGGAGCAAACAGGAUUAGAUACCCCCGUAGUCCCUGAGCGGGCUGGCAAGGCGCAU
This 447-nucleotide ribosomal RNA is filed under the name uncultured bacterium. RNAcentral describes it as "bacterial SSU rRNA". It matches the Rfam family "Bacterial small subunit ribosomal RNA", at positions 355 to 825 of the family's 1533-position model. The record is from RNAcentral.